AUUGAACGCUGGCGGCAUGCUUUACACAUGCAAGUCGAACGGUAACAGGCCGCAGGGUGCUGACGAGUGGCGAACGGGUGAGUAAUGCAUCGGAACGUGCCCAGUCGUGGGGGAUAACGCAGCGAAAGCUGUGCUAAUACCGCAUACGAUCUAUGGAUGAAAGCGGGGGACCGUAAGGCCUCGCGCGAUUGGAGCGGCCGAUGUCAGAUUAGGUAGUUGGUGGGGUAAAGGCUCACCAAGCCAACGAUCUGUAGCUGGUCUGAGAGGACGACCAGCCACACUGGGACUGAGACACGGCCCAGACUCCUACGGGAGGCAGCAGUGGGGAAUUUUGGACAAUGGGCGCAAGCCUGAUCCAGCAAUGCCGCGUGCAGGAAGAAGGCCUUCGGGUUGUAAACUGCUUUUGUACGGAACGAAAAGGUUUGGGUUAAUACCCUGGGCCGAUGACGGUACCGUAAGAAUAAGCACCGGCUAACUACGUGCCAGCAGCCGCAGUAA
RNAcentral lists this ribosomal RNA (498 nucleotides) under uncultured bacterium. RNAcentral's name for it is "partial 16S ribosomal RNA". It matches the Rfam family "Bacterial small subunit ribosomal RNA", at positions 30 to 523 of the family's 1533-position model. The record is from RNAcentral.